RNAcentral lists this ribosomal RNA (253 nucleotides) under uncultured bacterium. Its description in RNAcentral is "partial 16S ribosomal RNA". It matches the Rfam family "Bacterial small subunit ribosomal RNA", at positions 524 to 776 of the family's 1533-position model. The record is from RNAcentral.
UACAGAGGUGGCAAGCGUUGUUCGGAAUUACUGGGCGUAAAGGGCGCGUAGGCGGCCUUCUAAGUCAGACGUGAAAUCCCCAGGCUUAACUUGGGAACUGCGUCUGAUACUGGGAGGCUUGAAUGCGGGAGAGGGAUGUGGAAUUCCAGGUGUAGCGGUGAAAUGCGUAGAUAUCUGGAGGAACACCGGUGGCGAAGGCGGAUCUCUGGGCCAUUACUGACGCUGAGGAGCGAAAGCGUGGGGAGCGAACAGG